AACCUGGUUGGGUGGUCUGCCUUCACGGUACGUACUGCUCGGCCGGGUUCUACCUCUUGGUGAGCCGUAAUGCCAUUAAUUUGGUGUUGCGGGGAAUUUGGACUGUUACUUUGAAAAAAUUAGAGUGUUUAAAGCAAGCUAACGCUUGAAUACAUUAGCAUGGAAUAAUGAAAUAGGACGUUCGAUCCUAUUUUGUUGGUUUCUAGGAUUGACGUA
RNAcentral lists this ribosomal RNA (216 nucleotides) under Campeiostachys nutans. RNAcentral's name for it is "Elymus nutans partial small subunit ribosomal RNA". The stretch from base 48 to 216 matches the Rfam family "Eukaryotic small subunit ribosomal RNA", at positions 694 to 864 of the family's 1831-position model. Lineage: Eukaryota; Viridiplantae; Streptophyta; Magnoliopsida; Poales; Poaceae. The record is from RNAcentral.